GACGAACGCUGGCGGCGUGCCUAAUACAUGCAAGUUGAGCGCUGAAGGUUGGUACUUGUACCAACUGGAUGAGCAGCGAACGGGUGAGUAACGCGUGGGGAAUCUGCCUUUGAGCGGGGGACAACAUUUGGAAACGAAUGCUAAUACCGCAUAAAAACUUUAAACACAAGUUUUAAGUUUGAAAGAUGCAAUUGCAUCACUCAAAGAUGAUCCCGGGUUGUAUUAGCUAGUUGGUGAGGUAAAGGCUCACCAAGGCGAUGAUACAUAGCCGACCUGAGAGGGUGAUCGGCCACAUUGGGACUGAGACACGGCCCAAACUCCUACGGGAGGCAGCAGUAGGGAAUCUUCGGCAAUGGACGAAAGUCUGACCGAGCAACGCCGCGUGAGUGAAGAAGGUUUUUGGAUCGUAAAACUCUGUUGGUAGAGAAGAACGUUGGUGAGAGUGGAAAGCUCAUCAAGUGACGGUAACUACCCAGAAAGGGACGGCUAACUACGUGCCAGCCGCCGCCGUAA
This 513-nucleotide ribosomal RNA is filed under the name uncultured bacterium. Its description in RNAcentral is "partial 16S ribosomal RNA". It matches the Rfam family "Bacterial small subunit ribosomal RNA", at positions 28 to 523 of the family's 1533-position model. The record is from RNAcentral.